ACAAACAGUCAUUGGGAUAUGGCUACGUGAAUUUCCACAAUGCAAAUGAUGCAGAGACGGCUCUCGACACACUGAGCUAUACCAACAUUCAUGGCCGCUGUUGCCGCUUGAUGUGGAGCCAGCGAGACACAGGGCAAAGGAAGUCAAGCAACAGCAACGUGUACGUUGGCAAC
This 173-nucleotide small nuclear RNA is filed under the name uncultured Symbiodinium. RNAcentral describes it as "partial Dictyostelium signal recognition particle". Lineage: Eukaryota; Dinophyceae; Suessiales; Symbiodiniaceae. The record is from RNAcentral.